UCUCUGGGGUCCGCGCUGAUAGCUGUGGCUCGUGCCCGUCUCUGGAACUCCUUUAAGCGACACUCUUAAUCCCCUGUCCUCGCGCACCACGAAACAACGGGGCAAGAAAAAUCUCUUGCCUCUUAGGCAGUUCCAGACUUUUUCCCGGACUCCCUCCUGGCUAGCUGUGGUGCACUAGCCCCCUCAGGCUGUGUUCACGCAGCCAACCUGAGUCCUCGCCUUGGGAUCCGACCGAAGCCCGAACCUCAGCUCCCAGCCCCUGCCCGCCCCGGAGGGUGAGCAGACGAGCCUCUCGGGCUGUUCCAAGUGAUAUAUGGUUGGGUUCCGUGACCUCUGAAGCUCCUUGCCAUCCCAUGAUGCUGGGACUGAAAAUCAGGCGGAGUUCAGCAGCUGCUUCCUGAGCCAUUUUGGACACUUGCCAUCGCAGAAGUUAAUCUCAUCCAUCUCAGAGUCUGCCACUUAUCAGCUGUGUGGAGAUACUGCCAGCCUCUGAAAACACUAAAACGCCACCUGCUAUGUAAAGAAGUCCAGUGUAUUCUGGUGGAGAGAGGCCCUGGUGGACAAGAGGCCAUGUGACAAAGAACUGAGGUGUCCCA
Long non-coding RNA from Balaenoptera ricei (Rice's whale), 596 nucleotides. RefSeq lists it as uncharacterized. NCBI's taxonomy places the organism in Eukaryota, Metazoa, Chordata, Mammalia, Artiodactyla, Balaenopteridae. The record is from RefSeq and is a predicted model, not a curated record. The transcript is spliced from 3 exons.